GACGAACGCUGGCGGCGUGCUUAACACAUGCAAGUCGAACGGAAAGGCCUUUUCGGAGGUACUCGAGUGGCGAACGGGUGAGUAACACGUGGGUGAUCUGCCCUGCACUCUGGGAUAAGCCUGGGAAACUGGGUCUAAUACCGGAUAGGACCGCACUUUAGUGUGUGUGGUGGAAAGUUUUUUCGGUGUAGGAUGAGCCCGCGGCCUAUCAGCUUGUUGGUGGGGUAAUGGCCUACCAAGGCGGCGACGGGUAGCCGGACUGAGAGGUUGGUCGGCCACAUUGGGCCUAAGGUAGGCCCCAGUCGCCAACGGGAGGCAGCGGAGGGGAGUAUGGCGCAAUGGGCGCAAGCCAGAGACGGCGGGGCUGGGUGGGGGAUGACGUCCUGCGGGUGGAAAACACGUUCCACCGGGAACGAAGGGUUUUGUGCGGGAACUUGAAAGAGAGGCACGGCCAAACUACGG
This 462-nucleotide ribosomal RNA is filed under the name uncultured bacterium. Its description in RNAcentral is "partial 16S ribosomal RNA". It matches the Rfam family "Bacterial small subunit ribosomal RNA", at positions 28 to 506 of the family's 1533-position model. The record is from RNAcentral.